CACGGAGUUAGCCGAUCCUUAUUCUUACGGUACCGUCAAGCUGCUACACGUAGCAGUGUUUCUUCCCGUACAAAAGUAGUUUACACACCAUAGAUGCGUCAUCCUACACGCGGCAUGGCUGGUUCAGGCUUGCGCCCAUUGACCAAUAUUCCUCACUGCUGCCUCCCGUAGGAGUCUGGUCCGUGUCUCAGUACCAGUGUGGGGGAUCUCCCUCUCAGGACCCCUACCCAUCAUUGCCUUGGUAUGCCGUUACCACACCAACUAGCUAAUGGGACGCAUGCUCAUCUUACACCGAUAAAUCUUUAACUAUGUUAGGGAUGUCCCAGUCAUACUACUAUAAGGUAUUAAUCCAAAUUUCUCUGGGUCUAUCCCUUAGUGUAAAGGUAGACUUGCAUACGCGUUACGCACCCGUGCGCCGGUCUCAAAGUCCGAAGACUUCUACCCCGUCGACUUGCAUGUGUUAAGCCUGCCGCUAGCGUUCAUCCUGAGCCAGGAUCAAA
RNAcentral lists this ribosomal RNA (500 nucleotides) under uncultured Flavobacteriaceae bacterium. RNAcentral describes it as "partial 16S ribosomal RNA". Lineage: Bacteria; Pseudomonadati; Bacteroidota; Flavobacteriia; Flavobacteriales; Flavobacteriaceae. The record is from RNAcentral.